UACGUAGGGUGCAAGCGUUGUCCGGAAUUAUUGGGCGUAAAGAGCUUGUAGGCGGUUUGUCGCGUCUGCUGUGAAAUUUCGGGGCUCAACCCCGAACUUGCAGUGGGUACGGGCAGACUAGAGUGUGGUAGGGGAGACUGGAAUUCCCGGUGUAGCGGUGAAAUGUGUAGAGAUCGGGAGGAACACCGGUGGCGAAGGCGGGUCUCUGGGCAUCUCCUGACGCUGAGGCGCGAAAGCGUGGGGAGCAAACGGG
RNAcentral lists this ribosomal RNA (253 nucleotides) under uncultured bacterium. RNAcentral's name for it is "partial 16S ribosomal RNA". It matches the Rfam family "Bacterial small subunit ribosomal RNA", at positions 524 to 776 of the family's 1533-position model. The record is from RNAcentral.